Molecule: long non-coding RNA, 1417 nt
Organism: Podarcis raffonei (Aeolian wall lizard)
Lineage: Eukaryota; Metazoa; Chordata; Lepidosauria; Squamata; Lacertidae
Exons: 2
Source: RefSeq, a predicted model, not a curated record
UGGGGGCAGCAGUGAUUGCUCUAAAAAAAUGGUUUUGUUUAAAGGCUUUUUAGGCAGACGGAGGGGAACAGGAAGGACGAAAGCUUCCCCUGUUGAAUAUCCGCCUGCUGCCUAGAUUUUUAAGUGCACAGGAAUGCAACGUUGGAUUUUUCUUUCGUUUGCAUGUGUUUCAAGAAAUCCUGCUAACAGCAUCUGGCUAGUGGGAUGGAGUCAAAGGUUUUCCCUAUUUUUCAAAGGAGGAUAUUUCACAGUUCAAGCCAAUGAAGAUUUAAAUCGAUUUUUAGAAAUCUGAUCCAUUUUCUAGAGUGAUUUAUUGGACAGGUGGAGUUAAAGCUCACUCUUGUUUUUGUUUUACAAAAGAACAUGAAAAAAUUAAUAGUUUUUUUGGUUUGGAUUAUAUUUUGUUGUUGGAUUUUUAUAGGAGCCAACCUGGAAGCCACUCCAAAGGAUGGCACUCAUAACUUUCAGAUAUCACACUUCAUCAUUUAGAAGCCAGAGCUGUCUUAGACUUCACUGCAUGUCCACAACUAGGAUUUCUGCAUCAUUGAACUAAGUGGGAUGUACUUCUGCGCAGACAUGUAAGCAAGCCACUCUGGGAGCCUUUUUGGCGGAAGAGUAGGAUACAAAUACUAGUCUAAAUAAAGCUUUGCGGAAAUGUUUUGAACAUCCGCUCGCUGCUCAUAAAUGUGAUUUCAGGUCAGAGAAUCCUCACUGUGCUGUUUUUGUACCAAGAGCAAACAGCUCCAGAAAUUUGAACCUGGGUCUCCGUAGCCCGUAUCCUAUAGACAAAAACGAGGCGUCUCUUCUGUGCCACAACCUACUUCCUUCCCUGGAGUUGCUGUGGUUAUCAGGUCAGUGGGCUUUUGCCCAAACUAUCCAGCAGAGGGCUCUUUGCAGAAGGAAUUAACUCGCAGCUCUCUGUGGCAAGCUUGUCAUAUCGAGACGAAGCUCCCACAAAUUAUUAUAACAUGCCUGCUAAUAACAGAAGGGCGAGAUGGAUAUGGAGCACACAGGGAGCAUCUUUCUUGGAGGUGUUACUUUCGAAGGAGCAGAGAGUCGGCCCAGGAUACCUGAAGGAGCAUCUCCACCCCCAUCGUUCUGCCCGGACGCUGAGGUCCAGCGCUGAGGGCCUUCUGGUGGUUCCCUCCCUGCAAGAAGUGAGGUUACAGGGUACCAGGCAGAGGGCCUUCUCGGUGGUGGCGCCCACCCUGUGGAACGCCCUCCCAUCAGAUGUCAAAGAAAUAAGCAACUACCUAACAUUUAGAAGACAUCUGACGGCAGCCCUGUUUAGGGAAGUUUUUAACGACUAAUAUUUUAAUGUAUUUUUUAUCUUUUGUUGGGAGCCACUCAGAGUGGCUGGGGAAACCCAGCCAGAUGGGCGGGAUAUAAAUAAUAAAUAAAUGAUAAUAAUACCUCA